This 253-nucleotide ribosomal RNA is filed under the name uncultured bacterium. RNAcentral describes it as "partial 16S ribosomal RNA". It matches the Rfam family "Bacterial small subunit ribosomal RNA", at positions 524 to 776 of the family's 1533-position model. The record is from RNAcentral.
UACAGAGGUCUCAAGCGCUGUUCGGAUUCAUUGGGCGUAAAGGGUGCGUAGGUGGCGGGGUAAGUCAGGUGUGAAAUUUCGGAGCUCAACUCCGAAACUGCAUUUGAUACUGCCUUGCUUGAGGACUGGAGAGGAGACUGGAAUUCACGGUGUAGCAGUGAGAUGCGUAGAUAUCGUGAGGAAGACCAGUGGCGAAGGCGGGUCUCUGGACAGUUCCUGACACUGAGGCACGAAGGCCAGGGGAGCAAACGGG